AUUGAACGCUGGCGGCAUGCCUUACACAUGCAAGUCGAACGGUAACAGGUUAAGCUGACGAGUGGCGAACGGGUGAGUAAUGUAUCGGAACGUGCCCAGUCGUGGGGGAUAACUGCUCGAAAGAGCAGCUAAUACCGCAUACGACCUGAGGGUGAAAGCGGGGGGUCGCAAGACCUCGCGCGAUUGGAGCGGCCGAUAUCAGAUUAGGUAGUUGGUGAGGUAAAGGCUCACCAAGCCGACGAUCUGUAGCUGGUCUGAGAGGACGACCAGCCACACUGGGACUGAGACACGGCCCAGACUCCUACGGGAGGCAGCAGUGGGGAAUUUUGGACAAUGGGCGCAAGCCUGAUCCAGCCAUGCCGCGUGCGGGAAGAAGGCCUUCGGGUUGUAAACCGCUUUUGUCAGGGAAGAAAAGGUUCUGGCUAAUACCUGGGACUCAUGACGGUACCUGAAGAAUAAGCACCGGCUAACUACGUG
This 477-nucleotide ribosomal RNA is filed under the name uncultured bacterium. Its description in RNAcentral is "partial 16S ribosomal RNA". It matches the Rfam family "Bacterial small subunit ribosomal RNA", at positions 30 to 507 of the family's 1533-position model. The record is from RNAcentral.